RNAcentral lists this ribosomal RNA (749 nucleotides) under Rhizobium sp. GGM5. Its description in RNAcentral is "bacterial SSU rRNA". It matches the Rfam family "Bacterial small subunit ribosomal RNA", at positions 22 to 754 of the family's 1533-position model. Lineage: Bacteria; Pseudomonadati; Pseudomonadota; Alphaproteobacteria; Hyphomicrobiales; Rhizobiaceae. The record is from RNAcentral.
GCUCAGGACGAACGCUGGCGGCGUGCCUAAUACAUGCAAGUCGAGCGGACAUAUGGGAUGGUUUCUCGCUGAGGUUAGCGGCGGACGGCUGAGUAACCACAGGGUAACCGACCGGUAAGCAUGGGAUAACUCAGGGAAACCGGGGAUAAUACCGAAUGGUUCUUUGAACCGCAUGGUUCUAACAUAAAAGGUGGCUUCGGCUACCACUUACAGAUGGACCCGCGGUGCAUUAGCUAGUUGGUGAGGUAACGGCUCACCAAGGCAAGGAUGGGUAGCGGCCUUGAGAGGGUGAUCGGCCACACUGGUACUGAGACACGGUCCAGACUCCUACGGGAGGCAGCAGUAGGGAAUUUUCCGCAAUGGCAGCAAGUGGGACGGAGCAACGCCGCGUGAGUGAUGAAGGUUUUCGGAUCGUAAAACUGAGUUGUUCGGGAAGAACAAGUACCGUUUGAAUAGGGCGGUACCAUGACGGUACCUAACCAGAAAGCCCCGGCUAACUUCGUGCCAGCAGCCGCGGUAAUACGUAGGGGGCAAGCGUUGUCCGGAAUUAUUGGGCGUAAAGGGCUCGCAGGCGGUUUCUUAAGUCUGAUGUGAAAGCCCCCGGCUCAACCGGGGAGGGUCAUUGGAAACUGGGGAUCUUGAGUGCAGAAGAGGAGAGUGGAAUUCCACGUGUAGCGGUGAAAUGCGUAGAGAUGGGAGGAACACCAGUGGCGAAGGCGACUCUCUGGUCCGUAACUGACGCUGAGAGC